Molecule: long non-coding RNA, 373 nt
Organism: Gossypium arboreum
Lineage: Eukaryota; Viridiplantae; Streptophyta; Magnoliopsida; Malvales; Malvaceae
Exons: 3
Source: RefSeq, a predicted model, not a curated record
AAGAAACAUAAUGAAAUUGAAACGAAACAGAGAAGAAACAGAUGAGAAAGAAAGAAAGAAAAAGAAAAAGGAAAAUUUCGGGUUUCAAGGUUCAAAGGUAAUUUGUCAAUGUGGUACCGGAAAUCUCGGCUAAGAAAGGACAAGACAAAGUCAACGGGAGUUAGCUCGAAAAUUACGGUUAAGUUAAGGCUAGACUGUUGAAUCAGCAUCCCAAGCCGAUCCCGAAUUCAAUGAGGUAAAGUAUGUUGAGUAUUGAUAAUGGCAUGUACCUAGGAUGUUUAAUGAGAGUCAUUUAGGUUGUAAAAGUAUUGAUGAAAUAAGUAAAUUAUGGUUGGCAAUGGUAUAUAGUAUGAAUUUUGAAAUUUAUUAAAAA